GACGAACCGUGCGAACGUUGUUCGGAAUCACUGGGCUUAAAGGGCGCGUAGGCGGCUUGCCAAGUCAGGGGUGAAAUCUUUCGGCUCAACCGGAAAAGUGCUUCUGAUACUGGCGGGCUGGAGGAGGGUAGGGGCAGAUGGAACUUCCGGUGGAGCGGUGAAAUGCGUAGAUAUCGGAAGGAACGCCGGUGGCGAAAGCGAUCUGCUGGACCCUCUCUGACGCUGAGGCGCGAAAGCCAGGGGAGCAAACGGG
Molecule: ribosomal RNA, 253 nt
Filed under: uncultured bacterium
Lineage: Bacteria
Description: partial 16S ribosomal RNA
Rfam family: Bacterial small subunit ribosomal RNA
Source: RNAcentral